GCGGUCCAAAAGCCUCCUCCCCAAAAAUCUUCAAAUACACCCAAUUUCCAACUCCGUUUUUUACUUCACCUUCUUUGUUUAAUCAAUGCUUCACACUAGUUUUCAUAGUAACAACACCACUGAGCAGCUGAAAAAUGACAUCUUUUAUGCAACUACGAAUCCCAAACGCAAAGCUUGCCUUUUUUUCAAGAACAUCACGAGUACCCCUUUAUCGGAUUGUAUUGUCGUUCCCUCAGAAGGUUUUCUUUUGCACAGCUAAGUAUUCUGAAUCUGAGGUAGACGGAUCUUUUAGCUUAAGGUUGGUCCCCCCAACCCUUGUAGCUGCUGAAAAGGAAGAGGCGAAGGCUGUCUUGACCUUGUUUCUGAAGAAACAGGGUUUAAGCAAUGCUCUUGCAGCAAGAGCUAUCAACAGAUCAGAGUCUUUUAUCGAACACCUUG
RNAcentral lists this unclassified non-coding RNA (438 nucleotides) under Hevea brasiliensis (rubber tree). The record is from RNAcentral. Lineage: Eukaryota; Viridiplantae; Streptophyta; Magnoliopsida; Malpighiales; Euphorbiaceae.